RNAcentral lists this ribosomal RNA (575 nucleotides) under Triticum aestivum (bread wheat). Its description in RNAcentral is "partial small subunit ribosomal RNA". The record is from RNAcentral. Lineage: Eukaryota; Viridiplantae; Streptophyta; Magnoliopsida; Poales; Poaceae.
AUGGUCAGGGUCGUUUGGCACCUGCCUGAGCGCAUGGCCGAGCACAGGCGUGGAAGCGGAAGGAGAAGUAGAGCGGCUCAGCACCUCACGGCUGAGCCCGUAACGUUCCUGGCGCUCGCUGAUCACGACAGCACGGGCGCGGAGUGCCUUGAUCUCCAAAGCAAGCUGGCGGCGAGAAGAAAGCGUACCCAGCAUGUGUUUCGACCAUACGAGGAAGCGGUCUCUGGACCGGCACCGGAUGCGGAAGAUGUAGAGGUGCACGCAGUCCUCGGCGUCAUAGGCGAGCUCGCGCACCUGCUUCAUCCACACCCGGAUGAAGUGGUCCACGGCGCCCUCUUCUGCUUCGGAGAGCAUGCGGAGGAUGGCUUUCAUGGUUUCCAGCUCGUCGCUGAGCUCAGCCACCUGGGCACUCACGCCGCGGAGCUGCCGGUACUCCUUACCCACCAGCUGCCCGACGAUGGACACAAGCUGGGCGGUCGUUCCUUCCAUUCUCCCGCUCUCUUGAUUAUCGACUCUGUGGGGAGGGUGGAUGGCUGGAUAGGAGAUGCAGAGUUUUGUGCUGCUCUUCGCGAUCU